UUAAGCGACUAAGCGUACACGGUGGAUGCCCUGGCAGUCAGAGGCGAUGAAGGACGUGCUAAUCUGCGAUAAGCGUCGGUGAGGUGAUAUGAACCGUUAUAACCGGCGAUUUCCGAAUGGGGAAACCCAGUGUGUUUCGACACACUAUCAUUAACUGAAUCCAUAGGUUAAUGAGGCGAACCGGGGGAACUGAAACAUCUAAGUACCCCGAGGAAAAGAAAUCAACCGAGAUUCCCCCAGUAGCGGCGAGCGAACGGGGAGGAGCCCAGAGCCUGAAUCAGUGUGUGUGUUAGUGGAAGCGUCUGGAAAGGCGUGCGAUACAGGGUGACAGCCCCGUACACAAAAAUGCACAUAUUGUGAGCUCGAUGAGUAGGACGGGACACGUGGUAUCCUGUCUGAAUAUGGGGGGACCAUCCUCCAAGGCUAAAUACUCCUGACUGACCGAUAGUGAACCAGUACCGUGAGGGAAAGGCGAAAAGAACCCCGGCGAGGGGAGUGAAAAAGAACCUGAAACCGUGUACGUACAAGCAGUGGGAGCCUCUUAAUGGGGUGACUGCGUACCUUUUGUAUAAUGGGUCAGCGACUUAUAUUCUGUAGCAAGGUUAACCGAAUAGGGGAGCCGAAGGGAAACCGAGUCUUAACUGGGCGUUAAGUUGCAGGGUAUAGACCCGAAACCCGGUGAUCUAGCCAUGGGCAGGUUGAAGGUUGGGUAACACUAACUGGAGGACCGAACCGACUAAUGUUGAAAAAUUAGCGGAUGACUUGUGGCUGGGGGUGAAAGGCCAAUCAAACCGGGAGAUAGCUGGUUCUCCCCGAAAGCUAUUUAGGUAGCGCCUCGUGAAUUCAUCUCCGGGGGUAGAGCACUGUUUCGGCAAGGGGGUCAUCCCGACUUACCAACCCGAUGCAAACUGCGAAUACCGGAGAAUGUUAUCACGGGAGACACACGGCGGGUGCUAACGUCCGUCGUGAAGAGGGAAACAACCCAGACCGCCAGCUAAGGUCCCAAAGUCAUGGUUAAGUGGGAAACGAUGUGGGAAGGCCCAGACAGCCAGGAUGUUGGCUUAGAAGCAGCCAUCAUUUAAAGAAAGCGUAAUAGCUCACUGGUCGAGUCGGCCUGCGCGGAAGAUGUAACGGGGCUAAACCAUGCACCGAAGCUGCGGCAGCGACACUAUGUGUUGUUGGGUAGGGGAGCGUUCUGUAAGCCUGUGAAGGUGGCCUGUGAGGGUUGCUGGAGGUAUCAGAAGUGCGAAUGCUGACAUAAGUAACGAUAAAGCGGGUGAAAAGCCCGCUCGCCGGAAGACCAAGGGUUCCUGUCCAACGUUAAUCGGGGCAGGGUGAGUCGACCCCUAAGGCGAGGCCGAAAGGCGUAGUCGAUGGGAAACAGGUUAAUAUUCCUGUACUUGGUGUUACUGCGAAGGGGGGACGGAGAAGGCUAUGUUGGCCGGGCGACGGUUGUCCCGGUUUAAGCGUGUAGGCUGGUUUUCCAGGCAAAUCCGGAAAACCAAGGCUGAGGCGUGAUGACGAGGCACUACGGUGCUGAAGCGACAAAUGCCCUGCUUCCAGGAAAAGCCUCUAAGCAUCAGGUAACAUCAAAUCGUACCCCAAACCGACACAGGUGGUCAGGUAGAGAAUACCAAGGCGCUUGAGAGAACUCGGGUGAAGGAACUAGGCAAAAUGGUGCCGUAACUUCGGGAGAAGGCACGCUGAUAUGUAGGUGAAGCGACUUGCUCGUGGAGCUGAAAUCAGUCGAAGAUACCAGCUGGCUGCAACUGUUUAUUAAAAACACAGCACUGUGCAAACACGAAAGUGGACGUAUACGGUGUGACGCCUGCCCGGUGCCGGAAGGUUAAUUGAUGGGGUUAGCGGCAACGCGAAGCUCUUGAUCGAAGCCCCGGUAAACGGCGGCCGUAACUAUAACGGUCCUAAGGUAGCGAAAUUCCUUGUCGGGUAAGUUCCGACCUGCACGAAUGGCGUAAUGAUGGCCAGGCUGUCUCCACCCGAGACUCAGUGAAAUUGAACUCGCUGUGAAGAUGCAGUGUACCCGCGGCAAGACGGAAAGACCCCGUGAACCUUUACUAUAGCUUGACACUGAACAUUGAGCCUUGAUGUGUAGGAUAGGUGGGAGGCUUUGAAGUGUGGACGCCAGUCUGCAUGGAGCCGACCUUGAAAUACCACCCUUUAAUGUUUGAUGUUCUAACGUUGGCCCGUAAUCCGGGUUGCGGACAGUGUCUGGUGGGUAGUUUGACUGGGGCGGUCUCCUCCUAAAGAGUAACGGAGGAGCACGAAGGUUGGCUAAUCCUGGUCGGA
This 2307-nucleotide ribosomal RNA is filed under the name Escherichia coli. RNAcentral describes it as "bacterial LSU rRNA". It matches the Rfam family "Bacterial large subunit ribosomal RNA", at positions 1 to 2335 of the family's 2925-position model. The record is from RNAcentral. Lineage: Bacteria; Pseudomonadati; Pseudomonadota; Gammaproteobacteria; Enterobacterales; Enterobacteriaceae.